AAAAAGGCUGGGAAAGGGAACAGUAGAUUGGCGAAUCCUUUCAGAGAGCAGAAUCCCUGGGCUGAAAGAUUCUGUAUGCGAUAGCUUUUCGAACCCGCCCUGGAGCUUGGGACUGAAAAUGAAGUAAGUCCUUACGGGUUCUGGACCGUUAUCUCCAGAUAAAGGGAAUCCCAUAGGGGGUUAAUUAGAGUGGUACCGCGGAAAUAUAACCUUUCGUCUCUAUA
RNAcentral lists this non-coding RNA (224 nucleotides) under Thermotalea metallivorans. RNAcentral's name for it is "T-box sequence". It matches the Rfam family "T-box leader". From Rfam's summary of the family: Uncharged tRNA acts as the effector for transcription antitermination of genes in the T-box leader family. T-boxes are found upstream of many aminoacyl-tRNA synthetase genes and some amino acid biosynthetic genes usually in Gram-positive bacteria. Lineage: Bacteria; Bacillati; Bacillota; Clostridia; Peptostreptococcales; Thermotaleaceae. The record is from RNAcentral.